GACGAACGCUGGCGGCGUGCCUAACACAUGCAAGUCGAGCGGAGCUAGUAGCAAUAUUAGUUUAGCGGCGGACGGGUGAGUAACGCGUGGGCAACCUGCCUUCUACAGGGGGAUAACACAGGGAAACUUGUGCUAAUACCGCAUAACAUACUUAAGGGACAUCCCUUGGGUAUCAAAGGAGCAAUCCGGUAGAAGAUGGGCCCGCGUCCGAUUAGCUAGUUGGAGGCGUAACGGACCACCAAGGCGAUGAUCGGUAGCCGAACUGAGAGGUUGAUCGGCCACAUUGGGACUAAGACACGGCCCAGACUCCUACGGGAGGCAGCAGUGGGGAAUAUUGCGCAAUGGGGGAAACCCUGACGCAGCAACACCGCGUGAAGGAUGAAGGUCUUCGGAUUGUAAACUUCUUUAGUCGGGGACGAAGAAAUGACGGUACCCGAAGAAUAAGCCACGGCUAACUACGUGCCAGCCGCCGCCGUAA
RNAcentral lists this ribosomal RNA (478 nucleotides) under uncultured bacterium. Its description in RNAcentral is "partial 16S ribosomal RNA". It matches the Rfam family "Bacterial small subunit ribosomal RNA", at positions 28 to 523 of the family's 1533-position model. The record is from RNAcentral.